Molecule: long non-coding RNA, 3009 nt
Filed under: Lotus japonicus
Lineage: Eukaryota; Viridiplantae; Streptophyta; Magnoliopsida; Fabales; Fabaceae
Description: long non-coding RNA (LJAP_LNC000730)
Source: RNAcentral
AGUAAAGCACCACAGAUACACUAGGAAAAGCUCAAUCAAUAAGAAUAAUAAGAGAAGCCAUGAAGAGGAUUCUGAUGUGGACUGGACUACUAAAACUAGGGGAAAUAAAAAGCAGCAUGACAGAGAAGGGUAGAAAUUCAUUUUCUGGGUAAUAACCAAGAAGAUCAAGAUAUUAUGUGAGUAUUUCUGUAUUUGCAUUUCUGUAUACUUUUGCAUGUCUAAUUUAUAUUUUUCUAAUAGUAUCAUGAUGUUUUGCAGGCAUCACUCAAGAAGAUCAAGAUCUAUAAAGAUGGACCAGUUAAAUAGUGGUUGUUCUCAUAGAAGAAAACAGGAACGUGAAAGGAAGGAGAGGACUCCUGAUGAGGAAAGGAGUACCAACAUUAAGGACAAUCUUAAAAAGAAGUGCAGAGGCAGAACUCCUGAUACUGAUUCUGAUAAGGAAUGGUCAGAUGAAGAGCAGACUAGGAAAAACUCGCAUAAUAGGAACCAUAGCAGUAACCACGAAGAGGAUUCUGAUGUGGAUUGCGGUACUAUAACUAGGGACAAUGAAAAGCAGCCUUACAGCAAAGGAAGAAACUCACAUUGUGGGAACUGGAUUUAUGAGACUGGAUCAGACAGAGGUAGAGAUAGGAAAAAACAUCAUAUUGACCGAAGGUCAAGCUCAAGAUAUCAGAGCAGGGAUAGCAGUCAUGUAACCGCUGAAUCUGAAUCUGAAUCUGACAACGAUAGAGGAGAGAUGGAAUCACAACAUGAUUACUCUAGGAAAAGCUUGAGACACAUGAGAUAUGACCUUCAGAAUUACUGUGAAGACUAUGAGAAUGAAAAUGACAAAAUUGAUGGAGGUUGGUCUCAGAGGGAGAGUGAACGAGCAGCACAUCAUCACAAAAAGAAGAGAGCUUGUUAAAAUCAUUUUCAAGUUAUUUAUAAGAUAGGGAUGAGUUUCUAAGUCAGAUCACUGAGAAUAUGCAUCAUUAGCUACUAAUUAGAGAUUAUCAGUUAUAGUUGUUAGUUUUCCAUAGUUUUAAGUUGUGACCUGUUUCAAUCAAAAUAAUGUAGGAAGUAUUGGAAAUCAUCUGUAUUUCAAAAGUUAAUGGUUGGCAAUUUUUAAAUUAGUGACAAUCUAUCUAUUAUAAUUAUAAUAUAUAUUAAUUCUGAUGUGCGUAUUGUAACGUUUACAACACAACUCUUCUUUCUUACCCCUUGCCACAUUAGAUUUUUAAAUGUGACAACUCACCUCCAAUGCUCUUCAAAUGAUGUGAUUCCUAACCCAUUGAAUUCAGUUAUCUCAAAUUGAUCCUUUGAUCCCUCACAUUCUAACCUGUCAUAAUAUAUUUUUUUUCUAACAGAACUUUUAUUGAAACUCAUAAAGGUGAAAAGUCUUCACACAAGGCAAUUACAAAUCAUCACAUAAAACCCAAACAUCCUCCCUGUCACACCCCUCAUUUGCCAAAAAAUCAGCAAUCACAAUACCCUCCCUCAUAACAUGUUUGACCCCACACAAUUGACAAGAGGCAUCAAAUAAUCAAUAUAAUUAAACUCAUGAGACAAUUUCCAAGGGCGAUUUUGUCCAUUUCUCACCCAACCCACAACAAGCGUAGAGUCACUUUCUAUAGCCACAUUCACCAAAUUAUGUUGAUGACAAAAAACUAAAGCUGACAGAAUAGCUUUCAUCUCCGCCUCAUAAGCCCAAGCAUGACCAAUGGAUUUAAAGAAAUACAAAAUUACCUGUCCAUUAUCAUUGCGCAAAACUCCUCCAAUGCCACUGACACCUGAAUUACCCUUUGAUGCCUCAUCCACAUUAAAGUUGAAAGCACCACAAGGCGGUGGUUCCCAUAACUGACAAGGCUUUAUAUUUUUUAAUCUCUCAAUAAUCUUACAAAGUAAUUAAAUGUCCACGCAUUGCGUGUGUCAUAUUUUAAUAAUUUAUUAAAUCUGAAGCUAAGAUGUCGAACUGGCACAGUGACACAUUCCCAUUUCAUGUCAUCUAAGCACUUUUGAACUGUAAGUUACAAAUAUGAAAAUCACUACAAGAAUAAUGAGAAUUGAUGAUGGUAAAAAAUCAUCGACAAGCCCUAAAUGUCAUUGUUAAACAGAAAAUUACCACCAGCUAAAUAUUUGUCGGUAUUAUGAUCCUCGGUAGUAUUUAGCAUUGGUCAUAACCGUUGUUAUACGACAUCAACAGUUGCUAAGUUACCGACCACGCAGAUCUUCAGUAAUAAGCCGAUUCAGAUAAAAUGCAUGUUUAUAUAACACAUUUAAAAUGUAUGUUACAUAACAAACAUAUAGUACAUGUUUACUAUUUACUAUCUAUAUAUGUCUUUAUCUAUAUAAUUUACAAAUAUUCAUAACAUUUUAUGAAAUGUAUAUUUUUUUGUAUAUAUUUAGUAAAAUUUUUAAUUAUAUGGAAAAUUACAUUAUAUUUUUUAUUUCUAAAGAUUCUUAUUAAUAAAUUAAGUUUUUUUAAACAAUUUAUAUUUAUGUACUAUGAAAAAGUAUAAACAGGGAAUGGACCCUAGGUUGAAGAGAGGAAGUAUAUGGUGUUUUGGGCGCAAGUUGUGGUGGUUCGAUUGCGGUAUCGAUCUGGGUAGAAAUUCAUUUUCUGGGUAAUUUUAAAGGAUGAAGAAAAUGAUGAAUAAAUAUUAAUUUUUUGCUGUAGUUAUUUUUUUGGUUUCUGCUUUUUUUUUUUUACAUAAUCAUUUUUUAAAAAAUUAACCUGAUGAAACCUAGUAUAGCAAGUCAAAAGAUACUUGUGUAAGGUUACACAAGAAAAAGCAGCAUGGCAGAGAAGGAAGAAACUCACAAAAGUCGAACUGGGACAUUAGGAACUGGAAUUGUGAGACUGGAUCAGAUGGUGAUAUAGAUAGAAAAAGACACCAUAUUAACCAAGAAGAUCAAGAUCUAUAAAGAUGGACCAAUUAAAUAGUGGUUGUUCUCAUAGAGGAAAACAGGAACGUGAAAGGAAGGAGAGGACUCCUGAUGAGGAAAGGAGUACCAACAUUAAGGACAAUC